RNAcentral lists this ribosomal RNA (250 nucleotides) under uncultured bacterium. Its description in RNAcentral is "partial 16S ribosomal RNA". It matches the Rfam family "Bacterial small subunit ribosomal RNA", at positions 524 to 776 of the family's 1533-position model. The record is from RNAcentral.
GACGGGGGGGGCAAGUGUUCUUCGGAAUGACUGGGCGUAAGGGCACGUAGGCGGUGAAUCGGGUUGAAAGUGAAAGUCGCCAAAAAGUGGCGGAAUGCUCUCGAAACCAAUUCACUUGAGUGAGACAGAGGAGAGUGGAAUUUCGUGUGUAGGGGUGAAAUCCGUAGAUCUACGAAGGAACGCCAAAAGCGAAGGCAGCUCUCUGGGUCCCUACCGACGCUGGGGUGCGAAAGCAUGGGGAGCGAACAGG